Molecule: transfer RNA, 68 nt
Filed under: Archiblatta hoeveni
Lineage: Eukaryota; Metazoa; Arthropoda; Insecta; Blattodea; Blattidae
Description: tRNA-Ile
Source: RNAcentral
AAUAAAGUGCCUGAAUAAAGGAUUAUCAUGAUAUGAUAAAAAAUGUAAUACAAACUUUACCUUUAUUA